GACGAACGCUGGCGGCGUGCUUAACACAUGCAAGUCGAACGGUGAACGAGGGAGCUUGCUCCCUCCGGAUCAGUGGCGAACGGGUGAGUAACACGUGAGCAAUCUGCCCCGAACUCUGGGAUAAGCGUUGGAAACGACGUCUAAUACCGGAUACGACGCGGUAGGGCAUGCUCUCCGCGUGGAAAGAAAUUCGGUUCGGAAUGAGCUCGCGUCCUAGCAGCUUGUUGGUGAGGUAACGCCUCAACAAGGCGACGACUGAUGGCCGGCCUGAGAGGGAGGACGGGCCCAUCGGAACUGAGACACGGCACAGCCUCCAACGCGAGGAAGCUGUGGCGAUCGUUGAACACUGGGGGGACGACUGAUGAACCAACUCCGGGAGGGGGAAGACGGCCUUGGGUUUGAAAACAUCUUUUAGCAGGGAAGAACCGAAAGUGACGGUACCUGCCGAAAAAGCACCGGCUAACUACGUG
RNAcentral lists this ribosomal RNA (470 nucleotides) under uncultured bacterium. RNAcentral describes it as "partial 16S ribosomal RNA". It matches the Rfam family "Bacterial small subunit ribosomal RNA", at positions 28 to 507 of the family's 1533-position model. The record is from RNAcentral.